AGCAGCCGCGGUAAUUCCAGCUCCAAUAGCGUAUAUUAAAGUUGUUGCAGUUAAAAAGCUCGUAGUUGAAUUUCGGGGUUAGUAGGUUGGUCAUGCCUCUGGUAUGUACUGGUCUCACUGAUUCCUCCUUCCUGAUGAACCUUAAUGCCAUUAAUUUGGUGUUUUGGGGAAUUUGGACUGUUACUUUGAAAAAAUUAGAGUGUUUAAAGCAAGCUAACGCUUGAAUACAUUAGCAUGGAAUAAUGAAAUAGGACGUUCGAUCCUAUUUUGUUGGUUUCUAGGAUUGACGUAAUGAUUAAUAGGGAUAGUUGGGGGCAUUAGUAUUCAAUUGUCAGAGGUGAAAUUCUUGGAUUUAUUGAAGACUAACUACUGCGAAAGCAUUUGCCAAGGAUGUUUUCAUUAAUCAAGAACGAAAGUUAGGGGAUCGAAGACGAUCAGAUACCGUCGUAGUCUUAACCAUAAACUAUGCGACUA
RNAcentral lists this unclassified non-coding RNA (474 nucleotides) under uncultured Glomus. RNAcentral's name for it is "SSU rRNA". It matches the Rfam family "Eukaryotic small subunit ribosomal RNA", at positions 569 to 1047 of the family's 1831-position model. The record is from RNAcentral. Lineage: Eukaryota; Fungi; Glomeromycota; Glomeromycetes; Glomerales; Glomeraceae.